This 497-nucleotide ribosomal RNA is filed under the name uncultured bacterium. RNAcentral describes it as "partial 16S ribosomal RNA". It matches the Rfam family "Bacterial small subunit ribosomal RNA", at positions 28 to 507 of the family's 1533-position model. The record is from RNAcentral.
GAUGAACGCUGGCGGCGUGCCUAAUACAUGCAAGUCGAGCGAACAGAUGCGGAGCUUGCUCCUCUGACGUUAGCGGCGGAGGGGUGUGAAACACGUGGAAAACCUACUUAACUGACGGGGAUAUCUUGGGGAAUCGGGCGCAAAUCCGGGAUAAUAUAUUGAACCGCGGGGUGCAUUGGUAAAAUUCGGUUUUGCUGUCACUUCUCGAGGGUUCCCAGCUGCUUUAGCUAGUUGGUAAGGUAACGGCCUACCAAGGCAACGAUGCGUAGCCGACCUGCGGGGGUGAUCGGCCACACUGGAACUUAGACACGGUCCAUACUCCUACGGGAGGCAGCAGUAGGGAAUCGUACGCAGUGGUCGAAAGCCUGACGCAGCAACGCCACGUGAGUGAUAAAGGUCUUCGGAUCGUAAAGCCCUGUUAUGAGGGAAGAACAAAUGUGUAAGGAACUAUGCACGUCUUGACGGUACCUAAUCAGAAAGCCACGGCUAACUACGUG